AACGAACGCUGGCGGCAUGCCUAACACAUGCAAGUCGAACGAGAUCUUCGGGUCUAGUGGCGCACGGGUGCGUAACGCGUGGGAAUCUGCCCUUUGGUUCGGAAUAACAAUUGGAAACGACUGCCAAUACCGGAUGAUGACGAAAGUCCAAAGAUUUAUCGCCAGAGGAUGAGCCCGCGUAGGAUUAGCUAGUUGGUGUGGUAAAGGCGCACCAAGGCGACGAUCCUUAGCUGGUCUGAGAGGAUGAUCAGCCACACUGGGACUGAGACACGGCCCAGACUCCUACGGGAGGCAGCAGUGGGGAAUAUUGGACAAUGGGCGAAAGCCUGAUCCAGCAAUGCCGCGUGAGUGAUGAAGGCCUUAGGGUUGUAAAGCUCUUUUACCCGGGAUGAUAAUGACAGUACCGGGAGAAUAAGCCCCGGCUAACUCCGUGCCAGCCGCUGCCGUAA
RNAcentral lists this ribosomal RNA (449 nucleotides) under uncultured bacterium. RNAcentral describes it as "partial 16S ribosomal RNA". It matches the Rfam family "Bacterial small subunit ribosomal RNA", at positions 29 to 523 of the family's 1533-position model. The record is from RNAcentral.